UUUUCCCUUAAUUUUUUUCUCCCCUCUUCCUGCAUUUUUGGGUUGACUUUUUGGUCUAGAAUUGGAGAAAAGGGAUCAAAUUUGCAAUUUCAUAGCAGUUUUGGGUAAUACUGAUGAUAUUACAGCGGAGGGAUAGGGGGUGUAAAGUGUCUUUCUGCAGAGCAGUCAUUGUGUCGGAAGUGAGAUUUUCACCCCAGUCAACUUCAAAUCCGUGUAGCAAAAAAUCUAAAUGGUCAACCCCCUACAAAAUUAUGAUGAGGAGAUUGCCAAAUGUUGUCCCCAUUGUGCCUAUAAAGAUUGGAACCAACGGAAUGUUGAGAAAAAAGCUACAGCCUGUGAUGUUACAGCCAUUUAACAUUGAAGUCAAUGGGCAAAUAAUUGCUAGUCUGAGUCCUGAUGAGAUAAAGAAACAUGGCCGACUCGGGAUGUUGAUAUUUUUUCAAGGGCUUAUUUCCUGAAGUUUUGAAUGGAAAGUGUCAGAAAUAGUAAGAAUACUGCUUUUUUAUUGCCCAGCAGUGCCAGGGCAAUGUUUCAUAGAGUGGAAUGAUUGACCUCAACACAAGUAUUAAAAAAAAAGAAGCAAAACAGGUCUACAUCUCAAAACCUGAUCUCUUCCUGGACUGGCUUUAGGAGAACGAUGAUGCAUAUCAAUUUCAUCCCUGAUCUCUAUGACACCUGUGGUGGAAGUGGAGGGCAAAUCGUAAUCAGUUUGGGACCUCUGUAAACUUUGCUUUUUGGUGAUGACUUAAUUUCCGAGCUUGAAAAGGACGCUUGUGUGUUUAUCAUGGCCUCUCAUAUUGGAAGAUAACAUUAAUGGCUUGUGUGUUGAUCGACGGUUGUGCAUAUCUCUUGGUCAGGAAAGUUGUAGGCACCAUCGCCAUUGUAAAUCAUUUGACAGGCUCGAGUGAACGGGGCGACCUAUGAUUGGUCAGCAAUGUAUCAGAUUCCAUACCGGGGGGUGGGGAUGAAAAAGCUGUUGUAGUGUUACAUAAUCAGAUUAUUUCAACUUACUUAUCCUGUGGAAAUACAGCUAUAUAGGAGAUAUUUUGAAAUUCAUAGGCACUGCAUGUUUCAACAUUUUAGAUUUGACCACAAUUUGGCACUUAAAACUAUGUUAACAGAGAAAAACUGUGUGGUUUUCGAUGAAAGUGUUAAAAGUCUAAUAUUGCAUCAUGAUUACUGUUUUAAAGUAUUUUCGUGUUUGAUUUAUAUUGAAUUCAUCUCAUCUUUUUGAAGAAUGCAUUUAUGUUCAAAAAUAAAAAUGUUCUGUGGAAUUCAAAAUUCAUGUGCUUUUAAAUUAUCAGAUUCCAAACUGGGGGGUAGGGAUGAAAAAGCUGUUGUAGUGUUACAUAAUCAGAUUAUUUCAACUUACUUAUCCUAUGGAAAUACAGCUAUAUAGGAGAUAUUUUAAAAUUGAUAGGCACUGCAUGUUUCAACAUUUUAGAUUUGACCACAAUUUGGCACUUGAAACUACGUUAACAGAGAAAAACUGUGUGGUUUUCGAUGAAAGUGUUAAAAAGUCUAAUAUUG
Molecule: long non-coding RNA, 1530 nt
Organism: Patella vulgata (common limpet)
Lineage: Eukaryota; Metazoa; Mollusca; Gastropoda; Patellidae
Exons: 3
Source: RefSeq, a predicted model, not a curated record